RNAcentral lists this ribosomal RNA (494 nucleotides) under uncultured bacterium. RNAcentral's name for it is "bacterial SSU rRNA". It matches the Rfam family "Bacterial small subunit ribosomal RNA", at positions 29 to 518 of the family's 1533-position model. The record is from RNAcentral.
AUGAACGCUAGCGACAGGCCUAACACAUGCAAGUCGAGGGGCAGCACAAGGAGCAAUCUGAGGUGGCGACCGGCGCACGGGUGAGUAACACGUAUGCAACCUGCCUGUAAGCGGGGAAUAACCCGUUGAAAGACGGACUAAUACCGCAUAAUACUAAAUUACUGCAUGGUAAUUUAUUUAAACAUUUAUGGCUUACAGAUGGGCAUGCGCAUGAUUAGCUAGUUGGAGAGGUAACGGCUCCCCAAGGCAACGAUCAUUAGGGGUUCUGAGAGGAAGGUCCCCACACUGGUACUGAGACACGGACCAGACUCCUACGGGAGGCAGCAGUGAGGAAUAUUGGUCAAUGGACGAGAGUCUGAACCAGCCAAGUCGCGUGCAGGAAGAAUGUCCUAAUGGAUUGUAAACUGCUUUUGCAAGGGAAUAAAGUGCAUCACGUGUGAUGUUUUGUAUGUACUCUGCGAAUAAGGAUCGGCUAACUCCGUGCCAGCAGCAGC